This 1884-nucleotide ribosomal RNA is filed under the name human gut metagenome. RNAcentral describes it as "bacterial LSU rRNA". It matches the Rfam family "Bacterial large subunit ribosomal RNA", at positions 3 to 1980 of the family's 2925-position model. The record is from RNAcentral.
UCAAGCGAACAAGGGCGCAGGGCGAAUGCCUUGGCACUGGGAGCCGAUGAAAGACGUGAUAAGCUGCGAUAAGCUUCGGGGAGCUGCAAAUAAGCAUUGAUCCGGAGAUUUCUGAAUGAGGAAACUCACCUGGGUUCAUACUCAGGUACGUUGUACUGAAAUUCAAAAUAGGUACAUCGGGGGAACCGCCUGAACUGAAACAUCUAAGUAGGGCGAGGAAGAGACAUCAAACGAGAUUCCGUAAGUAGUGGCGAGCGAACGCGGAAGAGGGCAAACCGAGAGUAGAAAUACUUUCGGGGUACGGACUGCUUUUAAGACUCGAUCUGUUAACCGAACGGCAUGGGAAGGCCGGUCAGAGAGUGUGAGAACCACGUAGGUGAAAACGGAAAGAGCUGCGCAGAUUCCAGAGUACGGCCAGACACGUGAAACCUGGUCGGAAGAUGGGGGGACCACCCUCCAACCCUAAAUACUACCCAGUGACCGAUAGCGUAUAGUACUGUGAAGGAAAGGUGAAAAGCACCCCGGGAGGGGAGUGAAAAAGAACCUGAAACCCUGUGCCUACAAGCACCUAGAGCACGUCAAUGUGUGAUAGGGUACUUUUUGUAGAACGGUCCGGCGAGCGAUUGUAUGCAGCAAGGUUAAGGACUUAAGGUCUGGAGCCGAAGCGAAAGCGAGUUUGAAAAGGGCGUUAAGUUGCAUAUAAUGGGCCCGAAACCGGGUGACCUACCCAUGGUCAGGUUGAAGUGGAAGUAAAAUUCCAUGGAGGACCGAACCGACCUCCGUUGAAAAGGCGGCGGAUGAACUGUGGGUAGCGGAGAAAUUCCAAUCGAACCCGGAGAUAGCUGGUUCUCCCCGAAAUAGUUUUAGGACUAGCCUCAAGUUAGAUACCUGGAGGUAAAGCACUGAAUAGCCUAGCGGCCGAGAGGUUAGCGAAGCUUAUCAAACUCAGAAUGCCAGAGUAUUGAUGCUUGGGAGUCAGACAGUGUCAGAUAAAUGUCAUUGUCAAAAGGGAAACAGCCCAGAUCUACAGCUAAGGUCCCAAAGUCAGGUUAAGUGGAAAACGAUGUGAAGAUACGCAGACAACCAGGAUGUUGGCUCAGAAGCAGCCACUCAUUCAAAGAGUGCGUAAUAGCUCACUGGUCGAGCGUCUUUGCGCGGAGAAUUUAACGGGGCUAAACCUGACACCGAAGCUUAGGCAAUACAGCAAUGUAUUGGGUAGGGGAGCGUUGUAUACGCGGAGAAACAGUAGCGCAAGCGGCUGUGGAGUGUAUAGAAGUGAGAAUGCCGGAAUGAGUAGCGCGAAUGCAGUGAGAAUCUGCAUGGCCGAAAGCCUCAGGUUUCUGGAGGAAGGUUCGUCCGCUCCAGGUUAGUCGGGAGCUAAGGUGAGGCCGGAAGGCGUAGCCGAUGCACAGACGGUAGAGAUUCCGUCACCACCAAAAGAGUUAAGCACAGGGACACAUUUGAAGUCUCAGAGCCGGGUGUUGGUUCCGGUAGAGAUCGAGGGAAGUUAGUACCGAAGUCUGGGAUGGAAGAUGGCGAGAAAAGCUGUGUGUAUUUCUGAGGUGCCCGUACCGCAAACCGACACAGGUAGGUAGGAAGAAGAUUCUAAGGCCAACGGGAGAAGGGUUGUUAAGGAACUCGGCAAAUUGACCCCGUAACUUCGGGAGAAGGGGUGCUCCAGAGAUGGAGCCGCAGAGAAUCGGCCCAAGCAACUGUUUACCAAAAACACAGGUUUGUGCUAAAUCGAAAGAUGACGUAUACGAGCUGACGCCUGCCCGGUGCUGGAAGGUUAAGAGGAGAUGUGCAAGCAUUGAAUCGAAGCCCCAGUGAACGGCGGCCGUAACUAUAACGGUCCUAAGGUAGCGAAAUUCCUUGUCAGGUAAG